AAUUCUCAACUUCAAAAGCUUUAUUGUUUUUGAAGCUUGGAUGUGGAGGCUUUGCAGGCUCUGUUAAAGAGUCGGCUCCUCUUAAAUGCAUUAGUGGAAACUGUUUGUAGUCCCCACAUUAGUGUGAUAAUUAUCUGCGCUAUUGUGUCUACAAGCUCUACGUAGCGUUCGAUUGGGAAGCUGCGCUUCGGUGCUCUUUCUGUUUCAACUUGACCUACGCUGAGUAUAGUAUCUGCUUCGAACUGUCCUAAGUCGCUGGACAAAUACUUGACUA
This 274-nucleotide unclassified non-coding RNA is filed under the name uncultured Marasmius. RNAcentral's name for it is "sequence contains ITS2". The record is from RNAcentral. Lineage: Eukaryota; Fungi; Basidiomycota; Agaricomycetes; Agaricales; Tricholomataceae.